ACAAUUUUUUACAUUUUUAUUUUCAAUGACUUAAAACCAAAAUCACCCAGUAUGCACAGGUCUAUUUGUAAAACUGCUUUUCAUUAAAAAAAAAUUUUUUUGUGGCACAAAUAGCAAACACCAAAUUGACAGGAGUAGAAUAUAGGAAAAUAUAGCACAGUUAAAGAAACAAAAUAUAUAAAUAUUAACAUAAUUUUCAGUAAAUCAAAUGAAAUAUUAUUUUUUUUUAACUAAUCUCUUUGGCACUCAAUGUAAAAGUUGAAAAAAACAAACUUUUCCUCUACAUUGGAAUAGUGAGCUUCAGCUACCAGUACUAACACAAACAUAGGCAGAUUACACAAUCAUUGAAUGUUAAGGAAUCAUAACCAAGAAUGACCAUAACCAUGGGUGCAUUGGUUGAUAAUAGAAACUUGUCUAAAAUGUAGGCUAUAGAGCUAGUUAACUAGUUGAAGAAAAAUACAUAACCAGUCUACAAAGCUGAUAAAAAAAAUAGAUAAAAGAAUUGCACUAAUAAGAGAAAGCAGUAAAGAAUUUAGUAAAAAACAAAUCUGAAACAGAUUUUUAAAAAAGCUUAAUAUUAAAUUUAUAUAGUAUAAAAAAAAAUCCAAUUACUAAAAUUGUAGUCCAUUUACUAAUUAUGUUUUUUUUUAAAAUCUGAAAAUUGUUCAAUAAUUGGCAAGACAACAACAACAAAGUAAAAUGUUGAAUAAAUUUGAAAUGCAAAGACACCCUGGCAACAAUCAGUUUCAAAAGUGAAUUUUUAAAAUACAUGAAGAAAAAAAAGAGAAAACAAAAAGUGGAGUUAUGAUAAACCAAAUUCUAUAACAAAUGCAAAAAAAACCCCAAAAAACUGGACAUUCUAAUGCCUUGUAAAUAAAGCUUCUUUCAGUGGUUUGUUUGAAGCUCUGCUACAAUGUAAAGUUUGUGGUUGAUUGGCCCUAACCCAUUCUGUCCAAUAAACUAAUACAAUUAUUGUUUUUCCAUUUUUUCUCUAUUAGUUCUUUACAAACAUUAUUGACAAACAUUCACAAAUUAAUAUAUUGUCAACAAAAUGCCCUUAACUCUGUAAAUGUGAAUACAUUUUAAAUAUCCAAUUCAAAACAUCGGUACAUGCCUGGUCAACACUUUACCUCUGUUUAAACAUACACUUAUAAUUACAUUUAUACAAGAGCCACUUGUUGAGGGGAGUCAUUGACAUCUGAAGAAAUGCAUUUAUUGAGAUAAAUAAAUGCCAUAUAAACUAUAUGAAUUUAAACAAAUUUAAAAACUCAGGCUAAAAAAAAUAAUGCGGAUGAGGUAUAAACUAUAUGAAUUUAAAUAAAACUAAAACUCAGGCUAAAACAAAUAAUGUGGUAUACAGAAUAAAUUGAGAAGUAGCAAUGCUCACUAAUAACAAUAUUUGAAUUAAUGCACACAUAGAAAAAUAUAUUCAGUUUUCAAUUUGAAGAGUUGACAUUAAAAGUAAAUAGUUAUGUUAUCUAUGCACAUUAUAAUGCUUGUUACAUUAGUUUGCUUUGGUUUUGUGCAGUCGAGCAGCUAUGAAAAGUGCAACAUGUUCAUCUGACUCAUUCAAUAGCAUAACAAAUAUUAAUGUUAUAUAAAAUAAUGUACAUUAUGAGUUUUCUCAGAGUAAAAUUAUCUUUGACAAUAUUACAACUUCAAAUAGGAAUUAUUUGGCUUCAUGAAUAGUAGUUUACAUGUAUAAGCGGUGAAUUUAAGAAACAACAUUGAAUAGAAAGAUAAGAGGCAUUUUAGUUAAUAUUCAGCAUUACUCAAACCUGUUAAAUAUUUCAAAAAAUGAUGUAUAUCUAUUAGCAUAAUAACAUAAACUUUGUAGGCUAUAAAGCACCUAAUGAACAACAACAUAAAAAUGACCAAUCAAAAAAAAAAAAAAAAAAAAAAAAAAAAA
Non-coding RNA from Biomphalaria pfeifferi, 1909 nucleotides. The record is from the annotation of a GenBank genome assembly. Lineage: Eukaryota; Metazoa; Mollusca; Gastropoda; Planorbidae.